This 501-nucleotide long non-coding RNA is filed under the name Mytilus galloprovincialis (Mediterranean mussel). The record is from RNAcentral. Lineage: Eukaryota; Metazoa; Mollusca; Bivalvia; Mytilida; Mytilidae.
AUUAAGAAUUGUUCUGAUUUAAUAUGUUGGUACGGGAAACAAGGAACAUUAUCCUCAUACAAAAAAAUAAGAUAAUUCUAAAUACAUGUUCCAAAAAAUGGAUUUUUUUACAAAGGAUAAUCUUAAGAUAUACUGGAAUUGUCCUGGACCUCACUUCUGUGAUGGGUAUAUGUUAAUGGAAUCCUUAUCCGAAUACGGGACCAACUUAUUAGUAGUGGUAGACCCCAAUGUCAAAUGAUCUUCAAUUUCUACCGAAAAUUUGCUGAAAAAAUGCUAACAUUCCAAUUUUCAAUAACAGUUAACAGCAAAUACAUUAUCACAAUAACAGAUAACAAAAAAACUAAAAGCCCAAUAACAGCUAACAAAGAAUAAGACAAUAACAGCUAACAAAGAAUAAGACAAUAACAGCUAACAGCAAAUAUAUUUUCAGAAUAACAGAUAACAAAGAAUUAAAUUGCCCCAUAACAGCAUAACAGUUAAACCCCUUGCCCCCCUCAUAAA